AUAUAAUUAGUUAAUUUUUUUGUUGAUUUCUGUUUUUUAAAAUUAAUUUCUUUUUUUUAUUAUUUUUUAGAAAAAUUUAUUAUUUUUAUAGUUAAUUAGUACUGUGAAGGAACUUAUUAUUAUGUUUUAAAGAAAAAUUUAAUUUUUGUACCUUGUGUAUCAGGGUUAAUUAAUUACCAUUAAAAAUUUAAUUUUCCCGAAUUUAGAAGAGCUACUUUUUUAUUAAUUUUAUUGUAGAAUAAAUAUUUAUAAUUAAAAAGUUGAAGUGAAACGUUAUUCGUUUCUAAAUAUAUCUGGUUUUCUGAGAAAAAAUUCAAUUUUUUUGUUAAUAAUAAAUUUAUUUAAUUUUUAAAUUUUUUAUUUUAAUAAUUUAUUUUUUUGGGGAUAAGCUUGAAAAAGUAAAACUACAAUUUUUUAUAAUUUUUGGUUAAUUAGGAUUAAAAGCUUCCAAGUUUAGAAGAAUGUUAUAUUUGAUUUAAUUUUAUUUUAAAUUUUUAUUUUAUUUAGUUUUUUUAUUGGAAUAAUUAGAUUAAUAAAAUUUUUAUUGAAAUAAUGAUUAAAUUAGUAUAUAAAUUGAUUUAUAGUUUAGAUUAAAAAAAGGAAUUCGGCAAAUAAAUUUUUCACCUGUUUAUUAAAAACAUGGCCUUUUGAUAACAAUUUAAGGUCUGACCUGCCCUAUGAGUUUUAAAUGGCCGCGGUAUUUUGACCGUGCAAAGGUAGCAUAAUAAUUAGUUUCUUAAUUAGAAGCUGGAAUGAAAGGUUGAAUGAGAAAAUUUCUGUCUCUUUUUAAUUUAAUAGAAUUUUAUUUUUGAGUUAAAAAGCUUAAAUUUCAUUAAAAGACGAGAAGACCCUAUAGAGUUUUAUUUCUAUUUUAGUUUGUUAAUUUUUUUUAGUAUUAAAAAUUAGAAUUAUAAUAAAAAUUUGAUUGGGGCGAUUAAAAAAUUAAAUUAACUUUUUUUCAUUAAAACAUUUAUUUAUGAAAAUUUGAUCCAUUAUUUAUGAUUAAAAGAAUAAAUUACCUUAGGGAUAACAGCGUAAUCUUUCUGGAGAGUACAAAUUGAAAGGAGGGUUUGCGACCUCGAUGUUGGAUUAAAAUUAAAUUUUGGUGCAGAAGCUAAAAUGUUAGGUCUGUUCGACCUUUAAAAUUUUACAUGAUCUGAGUUUAAACCGGCGUGAGCCAGGUUGGUUUCUAUCUUUAAUAAAAGUAAAUAUUUUAGUACGAAAGGACCAAAUAUUAAAUAAUUUAUUUAAAAUUAGAAUAUUAAU
RNAcentral lists this ribosomal RNA (1266 nucleotides) under Demonax pseudonotabilis. RNAcentral describes it as "large subunit ribosomal RNA". The stretch from base 832 to 1200 matches the Rfam family "Bacterial large subunit ribosomal RNA", at positions 2072 to 2648 of the family's 2925-position model. The record is from RNAcentral. Lineage: Eukaryota; Metazoa; Arthropoda; Insecta; Coleoptera; Cerambycidae.